CCUACGGGAGGCAGCAGUGAGGAAUAUUGGUCAAUGGACGCAAGUCUGAACCAGCCAAGCCGCGUGAAGGAAGACGGCUCUAUGAGUUGUAAACUUCUUUUGUACAAGAGUAAACGCAGAUACGUGUGUCUUUCUGAAAGUAUCGUACGAAUAAGGAUCGGCUAACUCCGUGCCAGCAGCCGCGGUAAUACGGAGGAUUCAAGCGUUAUCCGGAUUUAUUGGGUUUAAAGGGUGCGUAGGCGGUUGGAUAAGUUAGAGGUGAAAUCCCGAGGCUCAACCGUGGAAUUGCCUUUGAUACUGUCAGGCUAGAGAGUAGUUGAGGUAGGCGGAAUGCAUGGUGUAGCGGUGAAAUGCUUAGAGAUCAUACAGAACACCGAUUGCGAAGGCAGCUUACCAAGCUAUGUCUGACGUUGAGGCACGAAAGCGUGGGGAGCAAACAGGAUUAGAUACCCCGGUAGUC
Molecule: ribosomal RNA, 460 nt
Filed under: uncultured bacterium
Lineage: Bacteria
Description: partial 16S ribosomal RNA
Rfam family: Bacterial small subunit ribosomal RNA
Source: RNAcentral